GGUCACCCUGCAACGGCUCUGCGGCCAUGUGUGGCUCGUGACUGCUGUGCUGGACAGGGUGAGCCUAGAGCAGGUUACGUGAGAGCCAGCUCUGCAGCCUCUUGUGACUGCGGGGAACCUCUCUCACUUUCCAUGGUGACAUCU
Homo sapiens (human) is the source of this 144-nucleotide small nucleolar RNA. NCBI's taxonomy places the organism in Eukaryota, Metazoa, Chordata, Mammalia, Primates, Hominidae. The record is from RefSeq and is marked provisional.